This is a long non-coding RNA of Carassius auratus (goldfish), 3441 nucleotides long. RefSeq lists it as uncharacterized. NCBI's taxonomy places the organism in Eukaryota, Metazoa, Chordata, Actinopteri, Cypriniformes, Cyprinidae. The transcript has 3 exons. The record is from RefSeq and is a predicted model, not a curated record.
GUGAACAUACACGGUAAAUGUAUUUCCUCGAGGUGACCGUCAGAGGAAACCUUUCACUAUCCGCGUGUAGAGACGUUCGUAAAGUGAUUCGUUUGUGUUUAGAACGACCAAGUAGCAGAACGAAUACGUUAGCGUUAACUUCUCAGAGUGCCUUUGAAGAGCGUGGAAAUAACGUUUGGAAUUUGCGCCCAGUCGCCAUUAGCAACAGUCGGUAGAACUAAUGCGGAGUUCACGCCAUGCGGCUGCUACCGUGGGCUCGAGAUGACAACACGUGACUUUCUAUUUUGGAGCUGUUCAGCAUUCCUUGAUGCCAUUUUAAUUGAGGGAUUCCACCAAGAAUCCUGUUUGUGGUCAACAACUGAUUGCUGGUCCAAAACCACUCUGUAGCUGUCCUCUGGAAUAAAACCCCGGAAAAAGCUAAGGAACUGAAAUCCCAGACAUCAUGACCAUGUUUCCUCCCGGAUGUCCACGAGCACAGUUGUCAGCCCCUUCAACGGAUCUUACGGACAAACUCGGCAAACCACACAGGCAGGCCACACAGCUCUUAAACAUGGCGUGACGAUGCUCUUUAAGCUACCACCCAGGAACCAACGCUGCCUGCAGCUCAACCUGGUUGAUGGAUCUGAGUGCAGCCGCCAACCUCCAAUCACCCCAGACACGAGCCCCAGGACCCUGUACCACCCCAAGGUACAGCUCUGUCACGCUCACACAAGAUAUUUAAAGUGACAUGCAAAGGAAAAGAAGUCAUCUGUGAAAUUCAAAUGGUAAAAUGUUACUGUGCUCAAUAUAGGCAGCAGAUCAGACCUGAUGAGCCUCGAUACAAACAGUUGGCGCACAAUCAGUAAUGAGUGGGCAGAAUGCUGGAUACUGAUACCAUAUUUUUCAGCAUGUCCAUAUGGAAUAUAUGUUACUAACAUAUUUUAAUGAGAAAAGGUAAAUCCCAGCAGGACUGUGAAAAAACCACAGACUGUAAGUAUUGGAAUAAACUGCUGUAGUAUUUGCAGGUAGACUUUCAUAAACAAUUGCCAGAGAAAUUCUUUCCUCCAAAUGGAUAUUUAUUCAAAGAAGGUAUUUCAAAAUAUAUUAAAGCAGAAAACAGUUAUUUAAAAUUGCAAUAUAUAUAUAUAUAUAUAUAUAUACACACACACAUACACGCAUAAAUAUAUUUAUAAUAUUACCAAUAAAUAUGUAAAUGAAAUUGCGUGUGUACAUGGAAUAUUAUGGAGUUGAAUACUACAGAACUGUUUCUGUUAAAGGGGUCAUAUAAUGCGAUUUAAGUUUUUCCUUUCUCUUUGGAGUUUAACUCUAAACUCUUGGUGCAUUAAGAAGAUCUGUAAAAUUUCAAAGACUAAAGUCUCAAAUCCAAAAAUAUAUUCUUUAUCAAAGAAUACACUCCCCUAAAACGGCUUAUUUAAACAUACCCCACAUGUCUACAUCACUAUGUGGAACAUAUAUUAUUUGCAUAAUGCCGCCCAAAUGUUCACGCAAAGAAAGAAGGCACGGUUUCAGUAACCGCAGUUAGUGUUGAAGCAGCCAUGUCAGGGAGAUGCUGUGUGUAUCUAGGCAAAAGGAAAAGCACUUUAUUCGGCCUUCCAAAAGUAGAUGCAUUUACUUACAACAGAACAGCAAUGCAUUUUAUGGACGACCGUUUCGGGAACCUAGGAGAGGAGGUAAUUCUGACUUCGCUAUGACAACCUGAUGUUUCUUAAUCAGCUACUGUAAGUAUAUUUUGUUAUUAGUUUAAUGUGUGUGUGUGUGUGUGUGUGUGUGUGUGUGGACGCGCUGUGAGAGAGAGAAAGAGACAGGGUCCCACAGUGGUGUCAGCUGUCUUAACGUCCACGGCUUGUGUACUGCAAAAACAAAUGAGCUUCGUCACUGUGUCCGUCACAUGACUCUGUUCUUCUUUCAGGCUUGAACUGAUGGUAAAACUAAGGACAUUAUUAACUGUCUUUUCAUUUAUUUUUAUUUAUUUGAAAGAUGAAGCUUGCAAUUAUGGAAAGGGGCAUUACAUUUCUGACAAAUGCUUGCGGUGUUCGGCCAAUCAGAAUGCACUGGUUCAGUUGGCCAAUCAGAGAUGACUGCUCUUGUCAGAAGGAGGGACUUUGUAGAAAACGACAACUUUGAGAGAGGUGGGGCAUAGAAGACCUACAAUAUUGUACAGUAUUUGAAAAAUAGUUUUUUUUGUUUGUUUUUUUUACAUUAGAGCAUGUCAAAAUAUUCUGUUACACCAAAUACACAAAAUAAUGAUCUUUAAAAAGCAUCAUAUGACCCCUUUAAAAAUAAAAACACACCCUACAGGGUAUCUUUGACCCUUUUUGCAUUCUAGUGGUUGGCAGCUUUGGUUGAGUUCUAAUUCUAUGUGAUUUUUCAAUCAAUCAUAUCACGUAUUAUAGACUUCACCUCCCUUUUCAGCUGGACUGUUAUAAGAAAAUUCAUGGAGGUACGAUAAGAUAAUGAGCUAUUAAUAUAUGCCAGGGUGGGGGGUACAUUUGCGUAUUUGAGCUUUAACCCACCUUGUGUGGUUCGACCACGCUGACACAAAUGCAAACAUAUGUGAUGGUCUGUGUCACAUGCGAUCCCGAUGACUUUAGUCUUUGGAGGUCAUUAGCUGGUGUUGGACCAAUUACAUUCUUUGCAUACUGAACUAAUCUGGGGUUCUGCUGUCGAGGUUCCUCACCAUUAGUGUGUUUGCUUAUCCAUUUCCUUCCCUCCCUCCAAUUAACAUGUCCCUCACUCUGGGUUUGUUCUGCCGGUGUGUGUUGCUGUGACGCCUGUCCAUCACCCUGAGUCCCUCUGAAAGGACACUUUAAAAGUGAGAACAAUGCUGCCACCUCUCAAUCACCGCUGAGUGGUAUUGGUACUCAAAUGAGUGUUCUUCCCUGGGGUGUGUUUUGUCUUGCUGGGUCUCUCGGUCUGCUCUGUGAUGAAUCUUAACUGUAAACAGGGCUGUCAUGCGUUACCAUGGCGAGGGCUGAGGCGAGACAGGUGUCAUCAGUGACGUGGUUGAAAGCAGGGCGGAUUAACAAGCACAGGAUUCCAGUAGAGGGGAGUCCACCACUCUGCCCCUCCUGCGCUCUUCUCUGAGCCCUCUGGAAGAGCCAUCAGGCCCCAGAGGCACCCAGCAGGUAGCCUACUCCCUGCAGCCAGGCACAGGGCCUGCCUGCCCUCCUCUUAACCCCAGGAGCAUCGACAGCCAUCCCAACCACCACAGGGAUCCUCUGGCCCAGCCCCCUUGCUCUCCUCUUUCUCUCUUCUCUGCUUUUUCUUUCCCUCCUUCUUUGACUUUUUAUCGUUUGUUUCUUUUUGUCUUCACUAAAGCUCUGACACCUUUCAGACCCCCAGUGCUCUCAUUUUCUCUCUCUCUCAUUUAAAAAGUACUUUAUCGGCAUGACUGUAUUUACAAGUUAUGACAAGAAAUUUCAAUGUACAAUAUAACAACAA